ACGGCAGCACGGGGCAACCUGGUGGCGAGUGGCGAACGGGUGAGUAAUAUAUCGGAACGUACCCUGGAGUGGGGGAUAACGUAGCGAAAGUUACGCUAAUACCGCAUACGAUCUAAGGAUGAAAGUGGGGGAUCGCAAGACCUCAUGCUCCUGGAGCGGCCGAUAUCUGAUUAGCUAGUUGGUAGGGUAAAAGCCUACCAAGGCUUCGAUCAGUAGCUGGUCUGAGAGGACGACCAGCCACACUGGAACUGAGACACGGUCCAGACUCCUACGGGAGGCAGCAGUGGGGAAUUUUGGACAAUGGGCGCAAGCCUGAUCCAGCAAUGCCGCGUGAGUGAAGAAGGCCUUCGGGUUGUAAAGCUCUUUUGUCAGGGAAGAAACGGUGAAGGCUAAUACCUUUUGCUAAUGACGGUACCUGAAGAAUAAGCACCGGCUAACUACGUGCCAGCAGCCGCGGUAAUACGUAGGGUGCAAGCGUUAAUCGGAAUUACUGGGCGUAAAGCGUGCGCAGGCGGUUUUGUAAGUUUGUCGUGAAAGCCCCGGGCUCAACCUGGGAAUUGCGAUGAAGACUGCAAGGCUUGAAUCUGGCAGAGGGGGGUAGAAUUCCACGUGUAGCAGUGAAAUGCGUAGAGAUGUGGAGGAACACCGAUG
RNAcentral lists this ribosomal RNA (651 nucleotides) under uncultured bacterium. RNAcentral's name for it is "bacterial SSU rRNA". It matches the Rfam family "Bacterial small subunit ribosomal RNA", at positions 66 to 714 of the family's 1533-position model. The record is from RNAcentral.